ACUAUCCUUUUGCAACAA
Molecule: small nuclear RNA, 18 nt
Filed under: Arabidopsis thaliana (thale cress)
Lineage: Eukaryota; Viridiplantae; Streptophyta; Magnoliopsida; Brassicales; Brassicaceae
Description: snRNA_05371
Source: RNAcentral